AGAGAAAAUACAAUUUCAGCAAUGCGUAAACUGAAAGAAGAGUUAAAUAUAUAGGGACAAUCCAAACCCUAGAAGUAGAGUUGUCGAUUAAUAGAAUGUUCAAUGGUUUCCUUAUCUUGAUCUUUUUAAGUUUAACAAAAAUUUCAACUCCCAAUAGGGCUUUCAAAUAAAACUCCAACUAGAAUUUGCUAAUAGGCUUCGAAUAGUAUUCCAAAAGCAUUACAAAUAGAAAUCUCCUUAAUGUACGCUUUAAUUAGCUCUCAUUUCUCUUCAUCGACGAAUUUGAGUCACACCAAAAUUCUAAGAAUUUCCAGGUUAACAAAAAUUUUGGUGCAACGAACGAAACUCCAAAAUUUCUUCACCUGAAAAAAUAAAUUUGACCGCAACGAAAUAAACUAAACUUUUCAACUAGAACCAAACUUCUUCACCUCACGAAAAUUACUCUUACUCUUCCACAGUAUCCGCAAAUGAUACCCGAACCGAAAUAUCGGGUUCCCAAAAUUCCCACAAGGAAUUCAAAAAUUAACAAACGGUGUAGAAGCACACCCUGUAAUAGAAUCAACUUAAAUACUUUAAUUGAAGGCCCUUGAUAAUCUCAACACCUUCAAAACCUCAAAAAGCAUACGCAACUAAAUCAGCAUCAUCGUACCUAUCCUCAUUAAGCCCUUCCUUGGCAGUAGAACAAAGUGACACUGCAAAUAAUGGUGGCAAAGUGGAGUUACCCAUAUCAUCCUAACAGAGUAGUGUUCUUCAAUAAUGACCCAGAGCCAACUCCCUAAGGUACAGUACCAAAUUGUAUAUCCACCAUGGUACUAAACAUGUGGUGAUGAUUCUUUACCAAUUCUGCACGACUUUGCAAGAUGUAUAACCGGGAGCUCCUCC
This 882-nucleotide long non-coding RNA is filed under the name Olea europaea (common olive). Its description in RNAcentral is "long non-coding RNA (OEUR_LNC010790)". Lineage: Eukaryota; Viridiplantae; Streptophyta; Magnoliopsida; Lamiales; Oleaceae. The record is from RNAcentral.